AUGCACGCUGGCGGCGUGCCUAAUACAUGCCCGUCGAGCGAACAGAUGAGGAGCUUGCUCCUCUGACGUUAGCGGCGGACGGGUGAGUAACACGUGGAUAACCUACCUAUAAGACUGGGAUAACUUCGGGAAACCGGAGCUAAUACCGGAUAAUAUAUUGAACCGCAUGGUUCAAUAGUGAAAGACGGUUUUGCUGUCACUUAUAGAUGGAUCCGCGCCGCAUUAGCUAGUUGGUAAGGUAACGGCUUACCAAGGCAACGAUGCGUAGCCGACCUGAGAGGGUGAUCGGCCACACUGGAACUGAGACACGGUCCAGACUCCUACGGGAGGCAGCAGUAGGGAAUCUUCCGCAAUGGGCGAAAGCCUGACGGAGCAACGCCGCGUGAGUGAUGAAGGUCUUCGGAUCGUAAAACUCUGUUAUUAGGGAAGAACAAAUGUGUAAGUAACUAUGCACGUCUUGACGGUACCUAAUCAGAAAGCCACGGCUAACUACGUG
RNAcentral lists this ribosomal RNA (496 nucleotides) under uncultured bacterium. RNAcentral's name for it is "partial 16S ribosomal RNA". It matches the Rfam family "Bacterial small subunit ribosomal RNA", at positions 29 to 507 of the family's 1533-position model. The record is from RNAcentral.